AGCAGCUCAUUGGGCGUAAAGCGUGCGCAGGCGGUUUUGUAAGACAGAGGUGAAAUCCCCGGGCUCAACCUGGGAACUGCCUUUGUGACUGCAAAGCUGGAGUGCGGCAGAGGGGGAUGGAAUUCCGCGUGUAGCAGUGAAAUGCGUAGAUAUGCGGAGGAACACCGAUGGCGAAGGCAAUCCCCUGGGCCUGCACUGACGCUCAUGCACGAAAGCGUGGGGAGCAGACA
Molecule: ribosomal RNA, 230 nt
Filed under: uncultured Alicycliphilus sp.
Lineage: Bacteria; Pseudomonadati; Pseudomonadota; Betaproteobacteria; Burkholderiales; Comamonadaceae
Description: partial 16S ribosomal RNA
Rfam family: Bacterial small subunit ribosomal RNA
Source: RNAcentral